RNAcentral lists this ribosomal RNA (1059 nucleotides) under Zignoella pulviscula. RNAcentral's name for it is "LSU rRNA". It matches the Rfam family "Eukaryotic large subunit ribosomal RNA", at positions 40 to 1133 of the family's 3401-position model. The record is from RNAcentral. Lineage: Eukaryota; Fungi; Ascomycota; Sordariomycetes; Chaetosphaeriales; Chaetosphaeriaceae.
AUAUCAAUAAGCGGAGGAAAAGAAACCAACAGGGAUUGCCUCAGUAACGGCGAGUGAAGCGGCAACAGCUCAAAUUUGAAAUCUGGCCCUAGGCCCGAGUUGUAAUUUGCAGAGGAUGCUUCCGGUGCGGCGCCGUCCAAGUCCCCUGGAACGGGGUGCCACAGAGGGUGAGAGCCCCGUCGGGUCGGCCGCCAAGCCUAUGUGAAGCUCCUUCGACGAGUCGAGUAGUUUGGGAAUGCUGCUCUAAAUGGGAGGUAGACCCCUUCUAAAGCUAAAUAUUGGCCAGAGACCGAUAGCGCACAAGUAGAGUGAUCGAAAGAUGAAAAGCACUUUGAAAAGAGGGUUAAACAGUACGUGAAAUUGUUGAAAGGGAAGCGCUUGUGACCAGACGUGCGCCGGGUGUUCAGCGGGCGUUCUCGCCCGUCUACUCGCCCUGGCGCAGGCCAGCGUCGGUUCGGAUGGGUGGACAAAGGUACCAGGAACGUGGCUCCCUCGGGAGUGUUAUAGCCUGGUGCGUCAUGCCCCCGUCCGGACCGAGGUUCGCGCUCUGCAAGGACGCUGGCGUAAUGGUCCCCAGCGGCCCGUCUUGAAACACGGACCAAGGAGUCGAGGUUUUGUGCGAGUGUCUGGGUGUCAAACCCGCACGCGUAAUGAAAGUGAACGCAGGUGGGAGCUUCGGCGCACCACCGACCGAUCCUGAAGUUUUCGGAUGGAUUUGAGUAAGAGCAUAGGGCCUCGGACCCGAAAGAUGGUGAACUAUACUUGGAUAGGGUGAAGCCAGAGGAAACUCUGGUGGAGGCUCGCAGCGGUUCUGACGUGCAAAUCGAUCGUCAAAUCUGAGUAUGGGGGCGAAAGACUAAUCGAACCAUCUAGUAGCUGGUUACCGCCGAAGUUUCCCUCAGGAUAGCAGUGUUGGUCUCAGUUUUAUGAGGUAAAGCGAAUGAUUAGGGACUCGGGGGCGCUUUUUUGCCUUCAUCCAUUCUCAAACUUUAAAUAUGUAAGAAGCCCUUGUUGCUUAGUUGAACGUGGGCCUUCGAAUGCAGCAACACUAGUGGGCCA